RNAcentral lists this ribosomal RNA (468 nucleotides) under uncultured bacterium. RNAcentral describes it as "partial 16S ribosomal RNA". It matches the Rfam family "Bacterial small subunit ribosomal RNA", at positions 28 to 507 of the family's 1533-position model. The record is from RNAcentral.
GACGAACGCUGGCGGCGUGCUUAACACAUGCAAGUCGAACGGAAAGGCGCGGCUUUUGUGGGGUGCUCGAGUGGCGAACGGGUGAGUAACACGUGAGUAAACUGCACUUGACUGUGGGAUAAAUUCAGGGAACUGGGGCGAAUACCGGGUAGGAGCUUUUGCGGCGUGGUGGGGGUUGGAAAGUUUCGGCUGUUGGGGAUGGACUCGCGGCUUAUCAGCUUGUUGGUGGGGUAGUGGCUUACCAAGGCUUUGACGGGUAGCCGGCCUGAGAGGGUGACCGGCCACAUUGGGCCUGAGAUACGGCCCAGACUCCUACGGGAGGCAGCAGUGGGGAAUAUUGCACAAUGGGCGGAAGCCUGAUGCAGCAACGCCGCGUGCGGGAUGACGGCCUUCGGGUUGUAAACCGCUUUCGCCUGUGACGAAGCGUGAGUGACGGUAAUGGGUAAAGAAGCACCGGCUAACUACGUG